This 1053-nucleotide ribosomal RNA is filed under the name Haloarcula japonica DSM 6131. Its description in RNAcentral is "bacterial SSU rRNA". It matches the Rfam family "Archaeal small subunit ribosomal RNA", at positions 437 to 1383 of the family's 1478-position model. The record is from RNAcentral. Lineage: Archaea; Methanobacteriati; Methanobacteriota; Halobacteria; Halobacteriales; Haloarculaceae.
AAGGACUGGGCAAGACCGGUGCCAGCCGCCGCGGUAAUACCGGCAGUCCAAGUGAUGGCCGAUAUUAUUGGGCCUAAAGCGUCCGUAGCUUGCUGUGUAAGUCCAUUGGGAAAUCGACCAGCUCAACUGGUCGGCGUCCGGUGGAAACUACACAGCUUGGGGCCGAGAGACUCAACGGGUACGUCCGGGGUAGGAGUGAAAUCCUGUAAUCCUGGACGGACCACCAAUGGGGAAACCACGUUGAGAGACCGGACCCGACAGUGAGGGACGAAAGCCAGGGUCUCGAACCGGAUUAGAUACCCGGGUAGUCCUGGCUGUAAACAAUGCUCGCUAGGUAUGUCACGCGCCAUGAGCACGUGAUGUGCCGUAGUGAAGACGAUAAGCGAGCCGCCUGGGAAGUACGUCCGCAAGGAUGAAACUUAAAGGAAUUGGCGGGGGAGCACCACAACCGGAGGAGCCUGCGGUUUAAUUGGACUCAACGCCGGAAAUCUCACCGGUCCCGACAGUAGUAAUGNGAUGAAACUUAAAGGAAUUGGCGGGGGAGCACCACAACCGGAGGAGCCUGCGGUUUAAUUGGACUCAACGCCGGAAAUCUCACCGGUCCCGACAGUAGUAAUGACAGUCAGGUUGACGACUUUACUCGACGCUACUGAGAGGAGGUGCAUGGCCGCCGUCAGCUCGUACCGUGAGGCGUCCUGUUAAGUCAGGCAACGAGCGAGACCCACACUUCUAGUUGCCAGCAACACCCCUGUGGUGGUUGGGUACACUAGGAGGACUGCCAUUGCUAAAAUGGAGGAAGGAAUGGGCAACGGUAGGUCAGUAUGCCCCGAAUGGACCGGGCAACACGCGGGCUACAAUGGCUAUGACAGUGGGAUGCAACGCCGAGAGGCGACGCUAAUCUCCAAACGUAGUCGUAGUUCGGAUUGCGGGCUGAAACCCGCCCGCAUGAAGCUGGAUUCGGUAGUAAUCGCGUGUCAGAAGCGCGCGGUGAAUACGUCCCUGCUCCUUGCACACACCGCCCGUCAAAGCACCCGAGUGGGGUCCGGAUGAGGC